Pelobates cultripes (western spadefoot toad) is the source of this 167-nucleotide non-coding RNA. The record is from the annotation of a GenBank genome assembly. NCBI's taxonomy places the organism in Eukaryota, Metazoa, Chordata, Amphibia, Anura, Pelobatidae.
GGUCAGCUGACACAUCCCUGCCAAUCUCCGGCAGACCCUCCCUCCCAGACCCUUCCACCUCCUUGACAGCUUCCAUGUUGAAGCUGCCUUCAACAUGGAUGCUGUCCAGGAAGUAGGAGGGUCUGGGAGGGAGGGUCUGCCGGAGAUUGGCAGGGAUGUGUCAGCUG